Portunus trituberculatus (swimming crab) is the source of this 628-nucleotide long non-coding RNA. RefSeq lists it as uncharacterized. The transcript has 3 exons. Lineage: Eukaryota; Metazoa; Arthropoda; Malacostraca; Decapoda; Portunidae. The record is from RefSeq and is a predicted model, not a curated record.
AGUGGAGGGAGAUCCAAAGAGGAAGUGAAAAGAUGAAACUUAGAAGUUUGUUGCCAAAAUUUGGCAGAGAUUGGCACAGUGACGAGAUUUAAGGAAAGGGUUGGAGAGGCCUUUGUCCUGGCGUGGGUUGGACCUGAAAUAACUCAGCAUGAUGUUAGUAAUUCGGCAAAGAAGCCUUUAAGGAUGAGGUACCCAAGACUACACGUGUCACGCCUGGGACUAGGGCUCGACUCCACCAUUUUGCAUCUAGUGGGGAGCUGUAGUUCAUGGAUGCUGCCAUUACUGCUGCUGCUGGGGAGGGAAAUUCAUGGCCCAGUAAUCUUCACCUGGAGGCGUCUCUCAUGGAACAUCACUCGCUCGCACUUGUAACACAGAUGGAAUGGUCGCGGUUUAUAAUGUGAAUUCUGUAUGCGCCCUCUCCGUUAGCUUUGUAGAGGUCAGGAGGUACGCAGUUCUGCCAUUGGUCGCCGUACGAUCAUCUCUCAUGCUGUGACAUUUUGCUUUUAGUAGACGCAGUAACUUCAGUAACUUAUCUAUCUAUCUUUAUUCAUUAUUUAUCUAUUUAUUUUCUUGUGCGUAUGUAUCCCCUGCCUCCUCGAACCAGCGGCGUGAAAUGGGUCUGGUAUUA